RNA transcript from Nomascus leucogenys (northern white-cheeked gibbon), 4556 nucleotides. It is a transcript of the gene named Mov10 RISC complex RNA helicase, with no coding region annotated. The record is from RefSeq and is a predicted model, not a curated record. The transcript is spliced from 20 exons. NCBI's taxonomy places the organism in Eukaryota, Metazoa, Chordata, Mammalia, Primates, Hylobatidae.
UCCUGCCCUUUGCUCUCCUGCUCUUCACUGAGUCCCGAGGCUCUGGAGGGUGGGCGUGAGGGUAGCCCUGGCGGAGGCUCGGAGGUCCUCCCGGGCUGUUCAGAGGGCCCCAAGCGGUAGCCACGUUCUGAUACUGGCUAGAAGCCAGGGGAGGGAGCUUGGGGUAAGGGGAGGGCCCUGAGGGAGGGGUCAGACGCUUUAGGAAAGAGUUAAUGCGAAGAGGGGGAGGGGAUAGGACGAAGAAACCGAAGGGAAAGCUCAGGGCCGCCAACUUCCAACUGCAGCGGCGACUUUCAGUUUCAUUUCCACGGACCCUCCUGCCUGGGCCGCAGCCGCCGCCGCGAUGCCCAGUAAGUUCAGCUGCCGGCAGCUCCGGGAGGCGGGCCAGUGUUUCGAGAGUUUCCUGGUCGUUCGGGGACUGGACAUGGAGACAGAUCGCGAGCGGCUGCGGACCAUUUAUAACCGCGACUUCAAGAUCAGCUUUGGGACCCCCGCCCCUGGCUUCUCCUCCAUGCUGUAUGGAAUGAAGAUUGCAAAUCUGGCCUACGUCACCAAGACUCGGGUCAGGUUCUUCAGACUCGACCGCUGGGCCGACGGGCGGUUCCCAGAAAAGAGGAGAAUGAAGCUGGGGUCAGAUAUCAGCAAACACCACAAGUCACUGCUAGCCAAGAUCUUUUAUGACAGGGCUGAGUAUCUUCAUGGGAAACAUGGUGUGGAUGUGGAAGUCCAGGGGCCCCAUGAAGCCCGAGAUGGGCAGCUCCUUAUCCGCCUGGAUUUGAACCGCAAAGAGGUGCUGACCCUGAGGCUUCGGAAUGGCGGAACCCAGUCUGUUACCCUCACUCACCUCUUCCCACUCUGCCGGACACCCCAGUUUGCUUUCUACAAUGAAGACCAGGAGUUGCCCUGUCCACUGGGCCCCGGUGAAUGCUAUGAACUCCAUGUCCAUUGUAAGACCAGCUUUGUGGGCUACUUCCCAGCCACAGUGCUCUGGGAGCUGCUGGGACCUGGGGAGUCGGGUUCAGAAGGAGCCGGCACAUUCUACAUUGCCCGCUUCUUGGCUGCCGUCGCCCACAGCCCCCUGGCUGCACAGCUGAAGCCCAUGACUCCCUUCAAGCGGACCCGGAUCACUGGAAACCCUGUGGUGACCAAUCGGAUAGAGGAAGGAGAGAGACCUGACCGCGCUAAGGGCUAUGACCUGGAGUUAAGUAUGGCGCUGGGGACAUACUACCCACCUCCCCGCCUCAGGCAACUGCUCCCCAUGCUUCUUCAGGGAACAAGUAUCUUCACUGCCCCUAAGGAGAUCGCAGAGAUCAAGGCCCAGCUGGAGACAGCCCUGAAGUGGAGGAACUAUGAGGUGAAGCUGCGGCUGCUGCUGCACCUGGAGGAGCUGCAGAUGGAGCAUGAUAUCCGGCACUAUGACCUGGAGUCGGUGCCCAUGACCUGGGACCCUGUGGACCAGAACCCCAGGCUACUCACACUGGAGGUUCCUGGAGUGACUGAGAGCCGCCCCUCAGUGCUACGGGGCGACCACCUGUUUGCCCUUUUGUCCUCGGAGACACACCAGGAGGACCCCAUCACAUAUAAGGGCUUUGUGCACAAGGUGGAACUGGACCGUGUCAAGCUGAGCUUUUCCAUGAGCCUCCUGAGCCGCUUUGUGGAUGGGCUGACCUUCAAGGUGAACUUUACCUUCAACCGCCAGCCGCUGCGAGUCCAGCACCGUGCCCUGGAGCUGACGGGACGCUGGCUGCUGUGGCCCAUGCUCUUUCCUGUGGCACCUCGGGACGUCCCGCUGCUGCCCUCAGAUGUGAAACUCAAGCUGUAUGACCGGAGUCUGGAGUCAAACCCAGAGCAGCUGCAGGCCAUGAGGCACAUUGUUAUGGGCACCACCCGUCCAGCCCCCUACAUCAUCUUUGGGCCUCCAGGCACCGGCAAGACCGUCACGUUAGUGGAGGCCAUUAAGCAGGUGGUGAAGCACUUGCCCAAAGCCCACAUCCUGGCCUGCGCUCCAUCCAACUCAGGGGCUGACCUCCUCUGUCAAAGGCUCCGGGUCCACCUUCCUAGCUCCAUCUACCGCCUCCUGGCCCCCAGCAGGGACAUCCGCAUGGUACCUGAGGACAUCAAGCCCUGCUGCAACUGGGACGCAAAGAAGGGGGAGUAUGUAUUUCCCGCCAAGAAGAAGCUGCAGGAAUACCGGGUCUUAAUUACCACCCUCAUCACUGCCGGCAGGUUGGUCUCGGCCCAGUUUCCCAUUGAUCACUUCACACACAUCUUCAUCGAUGAGGCUGGCCACUGCAUGGAGCCUGAGAGUCUGGUAGCUAUAGCAGGGCUGAUGGAAAUAAAGGAAACAGGCGAUCCAGGAGGGCAGCUGGUGCUGGCAGGAGACCCUCGGCAGCUGGGGCCUGUGCUGCGUUCCCCACUGACCCAGAAGCAUGGACUGGGAUACUCACUGCUGGAGCGGCUGCUCACCUACAACUCCCUGUACAAGAAGGGCCCUGAUGGCUAUGACCCCCAGUUCAUAACCAAGCUGCUCCGCAACUACAGGUCUCAUCCCACCAUCCUGGACAUUCCUAACCAGCUCUAUUAUGAAGGGGAGCUGCAGGCCUGUGCUGAUGUCGUGGAUCGAGAACGCUUCUGCCGCUGGGCGGGCCUACCUCGACAGGGCUUUCCCAUCAUCUUUCACGGCGUAAUGGGCAAAGAUGAGCGUGAAGGCAACAGCCCAUCCUUCUUCAACCCUGAAGAGGCUGCCACAGUGACUUCUUACCUGAAGCUGCUCCUGGCCCCCUCCUCCAAGAAGGGCAAAGCCCGCCUGAGCCCUCGAAGCGUGGGCGUCAUCUCCCCAUACCGGAAACAGCUCCCUGGCCUCCUGCCAGGCUUCCUCUUGCAUUAGGUUAAUGGCACGAGAGAAAGGCACCUGUCCCCUCCUUCCAGGUGGAGAAAAUCCGUUACUGCAUCACCAAACUUGACAGGGAGCUUCGAGGACUGGAUGACAUCAAGGACUUGAAGGUGACACGCUGUUCCACACUCACUCCCUGUCUUCUGUGUGCCCCCACUUGCCCACUUCCAGAGACUUCCUCAAGCUUCCACUCCAGUCCAGCCCACGUCCCUGUCCCACCCCUGCUGCCUUGAAUAGAGCUUGAGCUCUCCCCAAGCCUCUCACUCCUGGAGAUUCCAACUUAAGGGUCUGGGAUGGGAUCAGGAAGCCUGCAUGUUUAACAAACACCUCCUGUCAUUCUUAGACUCAGGCAGGUUUGAGGCCUCUGCCCUAAGGAUAAAGUCCAAAUUCCGUGGCCUGUCAUGUGAUGCUGCCACCCCCACCCCCAGUAGCCUCUCUCUCUUAAGGUUCUGAUCUCAACACUGGCUGCAGAUAACAAUCACCUGGAGAGCUUUUAAUACCCCCGUGCCAGGGCCCCGCCCACCAGCUCAUACAGCUUUGGGGCAGAGCCAGGGCACUGGUAGUUUUUACAGCUUCUCAGGUGAUUCUAAUGUGCAGCCAGGGUUGAAAACACUGCUCUAAGAUUUAGAGUCCUCGCUCUUGGAAAUUCUGAUUGGGGGUCUGGGUUAGGGCCCAGGGUUGUAUAUUCUUAACAGAUACUUAGUGAUUAUUUUCAGUUUGAAAGUCACUGCUCUGAGUUCCCGUGUUCUUUGCAAUGCUGUUUUCUUUCCUUAGAACACUUUGCAGGCCCCAGCCCUCAGCAGGAUUCACCCUUCAGGUUUCAGCUUCCACAGCCUACCUCCCGUCCCCUUUCCCUGGGCCGUGUCGCAGCACUGGUUCACUCCACUUAUCUACAAUUGCCCAGUGACCUCUCUGUACCCUCCUUGGAAGGCAAGCUCCCUGGGGUAGGGCACCCCUUUGACACCCCUGGCUGGUCUCAGGCCCUGCCUCUUUCCCCACUAGGUGGGUUCAGUGGAAGAAUUCCAAGGCCAAGAACGAAGCGUCAUCCUCAUCUCCACCGUGCGAAGCAGCCAGAGCUUCGUGCAGCUGGAUCUGGACUUUAAUCUGGGUUUCCUUAAGAACCCCAAGAGGUUCAAUGUAGCUGUGACCCGGGCCAAGGCCCUGCUCAUCAUCGUGGGGAACCCCCUUCUCCUGGGCCAUGACCCUGACUGGAAAGUAUUCCUGGAGUUCUGUAAAGAAAACGGAGGGUAUACCGGGUGUCCCUUCCCUGCCAAACUGGACCUGCAACAGGGACAGAAUUUACUGCAAGGUCUGAGCAAGCUCAGCCCCUCUACCUCAGGGCCCCAUAGUCAUGACUACCUCCCCCAGGAGCGGGAGGGUGAAGGGGGCCUGUCUCUGCAAGUGGAGCCAGAGUGGAGGAAUGAGCUCUGAAGACACAGCACCCAGCCUUCUUGCACCAGCCAAGCCUUAACUGCCUGCCUGACCCUGAACCAGAACCCAGCUGAGCUGCCCCUCCAAGGGACAGGAAGGCUGGGGGAGGGAGUUUACAACCCAAGCCAUUCCACCCCCUCCCCUGUUGGGGAGAAUGACACAUCAAGCUGCUAACAAUUGGGGGAAGGGGGAGGAAGAAAACUCUGAAAACAAAAUCUUGUUCUAUGCAAAA